UAACCAUAAACCAUCUUUGGUUUGUCCUGGGCCUUGCAGUAUGGCAUCGCCUUGAAGGAAUCAGUCUCUUGAGCGGACAGGAUCCUGUAGGGCUGACCGUUCUCCGACUCUAAAUAAUCUCG
RNAcentral lists this unclassified non-coding RNA (122 nucleotides) under uncultured Ascomycota. Its description in RNAcentral is "sequence contains ITS2". The record is from RNAcentral. Lineage: Eukaryota; Fungi; Ascomycota.